RNA transcript from Canis lupus familiaris (dog), 3999 nucleotides. It is a transcript of the gene named dual specificity phosphatase 18, with no coding region annotated. NCBI's taxonomy places the organism in Eukaryota, Metazoa, Chordata, Mammalia, Carnivora, Canidae. The transcript has 4 exons. The record is from RefSeq and is a predicted model, not a curated record.
CGUGGAGACGGGCUGCGCGUGACAGAGCGGGCAGCGGCGCGCUGAGCUGACACUACCUCUCGGCUAGGACUCCUGCGGCCCCCGCGUGAUCGCGGGGCGGGUAACCGAGUAAGGCCGGGGGUGGGGGGGCGGCUCCAGGGAGCUGAGACGAGGCCGGGCUUUCUCUGAGGACCCGGCACUACUGAUUCCUCCCCGCGGGGAGGGACUGUUGCUAUGGAAACCAGAGCGCGGGGUAGCCAGGGAUGGUGGCGCCCGGAUGGUGACAGAUCUUCCCUCACCCGGAGACCCUCAGCCGAGGCUUCCGGCGCGGCUGCUUCCUGAACGAACGGGAGAGAGUUUUCCAUGGCAUGGCCUAACAGAAAGAUGUAGCCUUUGUGCCUCCCUGGCCGCUGACCGCCUGGCCUGAUGACAGCACCCCCGUGCACCUUUCCGGUUCAGUUCCGGCAGCCCGUGGUCAGCGGCCUCUCACAGAUCACCAGCAGCCUGUAUAUCAGCAAUGGAGUGGCCGCCAACAACAAGCUCAUGCUCUCCAGCAACCAGAUCACCACGGUCAUCAACGUCUCGGUGGAAGUGGUAAACACCUUAUACGAGGACAUCCAGUACGUACAGGUGCCUGUGGCUGACACACCCAUCUCGCGUCUCUGUGACUUCUUUGAUCCCAUAGCCGACCACAUCCACAGUGUAGAGAUGAAGCAGGGCCGCACGCUCCUGCACUGCGCCGCUGGUGUGAGCCGCUCAGCUGCCCUCUGCCUGGCCUACCUCAUGAAGUACCACGCCAUGUCCCUGCUGGAUGCCCACACGUGGACCAAGUCAUGCCGGCCCAUCAUCCGACCCAACAGUGGGUUUUGGGAGCAGCUCAUCCACUACGAAUUCCAGCUGUUUGGCAAGAAUACCGUGCACAUGGUCAGCUCCCCUAUGGGAGUGAUCCCUGACAUCUAUGAGAAGGAGGUCCAUUUGAUGAUUCCACUGUGAGCCAUCCUACCAGUCCCCGCACCCAGGUCGGGGGUGCAGAUCUGCUGUAGACCCUCCACCACGAUCUGAACUUAAACAUUCUCCUUUUGUUGGUACAGACAAAACAGAUGAUGCCUUUUAUGAGGGUCAGAAAAAAAAGGAAAGGUGCUGUAGAUUUUAACCUUAUUAUCCAUAUCUUCAAAGACGAAAUUCACUAACUGCCCAUUGGUGCAGAGAAGUUUCCAACCCUCUAAGUGACAUGUCACGGCUGCUGGCCAGAGGGGAGAGUGAGGCAAGUGUCCGGGUCAAAGUCCAGCACCUUACGCGUUUAGCAAGCCUAGAAUCCUGCUGUCCUCCACCAGACCGACUAACCCAGGAAUGAAUGAGUCAGCCACAAUUCCACUUUAUUCUUUCAAACCCAAAGCCAGAGCCUUAACCAUCAUGGUGCCUCCUGUGGUGUUCACAAGGCCAACUACCAUGUCAUGAGGACACUCAAGAUGCCCUAUGGAAAGGCCCAUGUGGCAAGGAACCGAGGCCUCCUGCCAACAGCCAUGUGUAUGACCCAUCUCUUGGAAGUGGACCUUCCAGCCCCAGUCAAGCCUUCCUACGACUACAGCCGUGGGUGACAUCCAGAACUAUUCCACUAGGCCACUCCCGAAUACCUAAUGCACAGGAACUGUGAGAUUCUCAUGCAUGUUGCUUUAAGGUACUGUGCUGGUGUUGGUGAGACAACGGUGAGCAGGACAGCUGCCUUGACCCUUCCAGAGCCCGGUCUGGCUCUGGUCGACUAGUUCUGACAAUGGGAUGUGCUCAGCGCCCUGCCUGAAGUGUGGGGGGCUGGGAUGACCUUUCGCUGCGAUUCUCGUCAGCUUCUUCUCGUCAGCUUCGCUUGGAGCAGGGCAGUGGUAAGGGUAGGAAAGAGCUUCCCAAGGAAAGUGACGUCUGUUAUCCUGAAGAGGCUUCCCAGCAAGGACUGGGUACAAAGAUUGAGGCUCGGAGAGGCGGAGUGACUUGCCUGAGACAACUAGUAAAAGGCAGAGCCUUAAGAGACAGUGGCCUGCAUGGGAAUCACCUGCUAAGCCCUUCCCACCAGUGAUUCCAGCAAUGCCCACUCCUGGUGACGCUGUGGCACCAAGAGAGGCCAAACAGGUCACACUGUGAGAAAGGAUAUAAGCCCAGCCCAGGGGGAAUCUCCUCAAUACUGGAUAGCUCUAAGUCUGGUGACAAGCCAGCACCCAGGUCAAGCAUGACUCCAAUUCACCCUGCCCUCCCCUACAACCACCAAGGGCUGGCUUUGAUCGGACAGGGCUUGGGGGCAGUGGGGCAGGCUCACCCUUCAGCCAAGUAUUCCAUGGGGGCCCAGGAACCAGGACGCAGGUGUGAGAGGGAGGCUCCUGCUAUGGCAAUGAGCUCCCUUGAAAGAGAAAGGGUCCUGAGUACUGUGAGGCCCUGCACCCAGAGACAUCUAAUCUGUCCUGUCUGGCCAGGCCUCAGAGUGGAGGUUGGAAAUGCCCAGGCUGCACAGGGACAGGGCUGGGCCAGCGGCAUCUCUGAGUCACAGGCAGGGUGGGUAGUGAGUGACUCAGCCUGAGCCCACUUCCCCUCUGAAAGGCCAGCCUGGGUGGAGACCAGGGCCAGGAAACCCUGCGCCUGUCCUUCGUGGGCCGGGUGCCUGAAGGAAGGUGGUGAGGAUGGAAGGUGGAGCCCGAGGAGAAGAGAAGCAAGAUAGGAGCCAGGUGAGGCCGCAGGGGCCAGAUCUUGAGGGUCCUGUGGUCUGGGGCAGGAAGUUCUGUUUUGUCCCCAGAGCAGUAUAGAGCCCCAGAAGCUGUGUGUUUUAGAAAGAGAAUUCCAGAGCUGUGUGGAAGGUGGAGUGGAGAAACCAGAGCAGAGCAGGGAGGAAGCCACCGCCACCAUGCAGAAAAUGAGCAAUGGCAGCCCGGCCAGUGGAGGGAUUUUAGAGAAGGGGACCCAGACAGGGCAUGAUGGGAAAGGGAGGAUGUCCUGGUUUCUGGGGGAGCAGCUAGCGGCCAGGGGGCCCUGAGCUCUCCCUGUAUUUCCUUGGCUGUAACCCUGAGGAAUGACACAGGUAUACAAGCAAAAAUAGUUUAUUUGAGGAUGGAAGACCCAAAAUUGGGGGGCCCAAGGGUGAGGCUACAGCAGCUGCCUAGAGUUGGCACAGAUGACCCCACUCCCCAGGGGAUCCCAGCAACAAAGAAGCCCUUCCUGGGGCCCCCUAGCUGCCUCCCCCACUUCCUGGAGGAAGGAUUGUGCAAUCGCCAAGAAUCAUCGUCGUCAUCAGAACAUGGUGAGGUUUUCAAAGUUUGGCCAGCAAUUUUUGGAGUAGUAGUUGAUGCUAAUCAUAAUAAUCAGUCCGACAAGCACAGUGAUUGUGCCAGGUCUGGACCCACCAUCCAGUGGUGAGUGAGGUCUGUGAGGAGAGGCAGGCAGGGACAGGAAAUGGUUCUCUCUGGGAGGCAGAGCCUCCAAGGUGGCCUUUCCAGAAGGCCCCUCUCUCUCCCUUGGCUCCAGUGGCUGCCGGCUCUCUACUUUUCCCAUGGCCACUGGCCAACGUUGGAUUCAGGCUAGGGUCCGUCCCAGGGAACCCAGGUGUUCCCCUAGGUCUCAAAGACCUUUGCCAGUCUGGUCCCUCCGCCAGGGGUGCCGGCGGGCAGCCCAGGAGGCCACGAACUCGCAGUUGUGGUAAAGGAACAUUCCUGAAAGGGUGAGUGCAAUGCCCACGUAGCUGAGAGCACUGAGGCGGCUGCCAAAUAGGAGUCGGGACAGGACGAGGUUGCCCACGACAGUGAGGUUGCCCAGGACGUGGACGGUGAGGGCAGAGGUGAGAGCCAGCAGAGAGAAGCUGGCCAAAUUGUAGAGCACGGACAGGAGGCAGCUGAGCAGGAUGCAGGCCCAGAGGUGGGAGUUGGUGGGAGUGGGCGGGGGUGCCACUCCGGCCUCCAGCACCAGGGCCGCACCCGCCAGCAGGCAGAAGCUGGGCAGCGAGGUGGCGUACAGCAGGGUCACCGCGUCCAGCCUCUCCUCCUGCAA